This 253-nucleotide ribosomal RNA is filed under the name uncultured bacterium. RNAcentral's name for it is "partial 16S ribosomal RNA". It matches the Rfam family "Bacterial small subunit ribosomal RNA", at positions 524 to 776 of the family's 1533-position model. The record is from RNAcentral.
UACGUAGGUGGCAAGCGUUGUCCGGAAUUAUUGGGCGUAAAGCGCGCGCAGGCGGUUUCUUAAGUCUGAUGUGAAAGCCCCCGGCUCAACCGGGGAGGGUCAUUGGAAACUGGGAAACUUGAGUGCAGAAGAGAAGGGCGGAAUUCCACGUGUAGCGGUGAAAUGCGUAGAGAUGUGGAGGAACACCAGUGGCGAAGGCGGCUCUUUGGUCUGUAACUGACGCUGAGGCGCGAAAGCGUGGGGAGCAAACAGG